AUUGAACGCUGGCGGCAGGCCUAACACAUGCAAGUCGAACGGUAGCACAGAGAGCUUGCUCUCGGGUGACGAGUGGCGGACGGGUGAGUAACGUCUGGGAAACUGCCCGAUGGAGGGGGAUAACUACUGGAAACGGUAGCUAAUACCGCAUAACGUCGCAAGACCAAAGGGGGGGACCUUCGGGCCUCACGCCAUCGGAUGUGCCCAGAUGGGAUUAGCUAGUAGGUGGGGUAAUGGCUCACCUAGGCGACGAUCCCUAGCUGGGCUGAGAGGAUGACCAGCCACACUGGAACUGAGACACGGUCCAGACUCCUACGGGAGGCAGCAGUGGGGAAUAUUGCACAAUGGGCGCAAGCCUGAUGCAGCCAUGCCGCGUGUAUGAAGAAGGCCUUCGGGUUGUAAAGUACUUUCAGCGGGGAGGAAGGCGGUGAAGUUAAUAACUUCACCGAUUGACGUUACCCGCAGAAGAAGCACCGGCUAACUCCGUGCCAGCCGCCGCGGUAA
RNAcentral lists this ribosomal RNA (504 nucleotides) under uncultured bacterium. Its description in RNAcentral is "partial 16S ribosomal RNA". It matches the Rfam family "Bacterial small subunit ribosomal RNA", at positions 29 to 523 of the family's 1533-position model. The record is from RNAcentral.